This 382-nucleotide ribosomal RNA is filed under the name Triticum aestivum (bread wheat). RNAcentral describes it as "partial small subunit ribosomal RNA". Lineage: Eukaryota; Viridiplantae; Streptophyta; Magnoliopsida; Poales; Poaceae. The record is from RNAcentral.
CCAGGUGCACCAUUCUCAUUGUUGUCCACAAUCAUGUUGACGGACUUGGAGUCCUGUCCUGACUUCUUGUACUUGUUUGGGCACUUGUUGGCCCAAUGUUCAACCGAACCACAAGUAAAGCAGCCCUUGUCCUUCUUGUUCUUCUUGAAGGUCUUCUUACCCUUCUUCUUAAAGUCGGUAUUGUGUUGGACACCGUUCUUUCCCUUGGGCUUGUGGGAGUUGAAGUUCUUCUGGUUCACCAUGUUGGCGACAGAAGUCCCUUCGGCCCCUUUUUCGUGCGAGUCCUUUGCCCUUGAAUUCUGCUCAACACUCAGAUGGCCAAUGACAUCCUCCACAGAGAAUUCACGCCUCUGAUGUUUCAGAGUGGUGGCAAAGUUCCUCC